UAUUCUGCCCUACAGGGAAGGAUGAGAAGCUUCGACUAAGGUUCGACUCGAGCGAAGCGAGAGAACGUUGCCGCAGGCAACGGCCCGAAGGGCGAGGUGCUUUAGCGCCGAGUAAUCCUUCCCCCACCACCA
RNAcentral lists this small RNA (132 nucleotides) under Klebsiella pneumoniae subsp. pneumoniae. Its description in RNAcentral is "RtT sRNA". It matches the Rfam family "RtT RNA". Rfam says of the family: This family represents a bacterial cis-regulatory element known as RtT RNA. The exact function of RtT is unknown although it is thought that it may be involved in changing the cellular response in relation to amino acid starvation. Lineage: Bacteria; Pseudomonadati; Pseudomonadota; Gammaproteobacteria; Enterobacterales; Enterobacteriaceae. The record is from RNAcentral.